Molecule: long non-coding RNA, 1449 nt
Organism: Sceloporus undulatus (fence lizard)
Lineage: Eukaryota; Metazoa; Chordata; Lepidosauria; Squamata; Phrynosomatidae
Exons: 3
Source: RefSeq, a predicted model, not a curated record
ACAGAUGUACUCAUGGAGAAAUCGUAAGUGACCUAGUUUCUUCUAACAUUUAUUUAUAAGUACAAACCAUUUAAAUAGCCAUACUGACUUUGCAUACUCAUUUUAUUUUAUUUUUGUUUAUUUUCAGGAAAAUUUGAGAUGUCUUCCUACUAAAUGGCCUCGUUGUAAAUGGCCAUGUCUGCAGAAAGGAUUUGAAGAUCUGAAUAAUACUAAAAAUAUAUUAGACAGCACUUGCACUGAGAAAAUCAACACCAUCUACUACAGGAUUGAACAAAUAAAACUGAAAGAUGAUUGCCAAUACAUCGUCAGUAAUGCAACAUGUGAGAAUACUACUACUGGGAACAUCGGAGAAUUUUUAACUGAAGCCAAAAAUUAUCUUCAAUCACUGGCAACAAACAAGUCAAUAAAUCAAUGCUAAAUUAAUAUUAUUUAUUAUAUUUAUCAUAUAAAGCUAUAUAUCUUAUGUCAUAUGUAUUUUUUGGUAAAAACGACAAAUUUAUUCACAAAAGAAUAAAGCUACAUAAUCUUUUUUCAACUCUAAUUUAUUAUUCAGCUGAAAAAUUCAAAAGAACAAAUAUGCCUGCAUUUAGAAAUAAUAUGUAUUUUGCUUUGAAAAGGUUUUCUCUUUCCUAACUGUCCUUCUGGAGUAUGACCAUCAGUUGCUGUAGUGAAAGGGCCAAGAUGUGAAAAUAAUACCAGACUAGGAAAAAAAUGACCUGAUAGGGAAUGUCAGCUUACAAUAUACAAUACUCUUUCCUAUAUGCAAUGCACUAAUAUAAGCCUCUGUAUGUCCCUGUGCUCCUACAUGGGUUAGGUGAGGCUGCUACUCUCACCUCGUACACGAACACAUUAUAAUUAUACAAUAGGAGAGUAGCGCUGGAGAAUGAAGAGAUGUCUUUUUCCUUUUUAAUUUUCCUCCUCCUCAAAAAUCCCGGUAGAUUUUUUUAAAAAAAAUGUCAGCAAUCUCAAUAGGCUGGUUCCCUCUUCUUCUGCUACUCUUCCAGUUUUGUGAAUUAUUGGCUUUCAGUCUAGCAUUCUAGACUAUAAAGUGUGGGGGUAGGGGAUGGGAAGGGAAGGGAAAUGUUGAACUGUAGGAAAGAAGGCUACCCUUGAGAGUAUUAUGCUUUUCUUUACAUCCCCACCCCCCAUAUAAAUGAACCCUGAUUACAAAGCUCUCCUCUUCCUCUUCCAUGGGAAGAACAUGCAGCCAUACUUCAGAAACCUACAAAAGAGGGAAACAUUAAUUCAGGGAGUUUACCACAUCACUGUAGUGAUGUGCAAAUACCUAAAUUCUUCAGAAGCCAUAUCCUUUGCUAUUUGGUUUCCUGAAAUGUUUCAAAACUGAGCGAUAGAGCAUGAACUCAUCUCAAGGUGAUUUCACAAGGUGAUUUUAUUGGAUGAAUGAUGAAAGCAAGCUGGCUCUGCUAUUGCGAGGAGUUGAGCCUUUUA